GGCUGAAAUUCGCCUUCAUGAAGCUGGAAUUGCUAGUAAUGGCAGGUCAGCAUACUGCCGUGAAUACGUUCCCGGGCCCUUGUACACACCGCCCGUCACACCAUGAGAGUUGGAAAUACCCGAAGCCUGUGAGCUAACUGUAAAGGGGCAGCAGUCGAAGGUAGAGCCAAUGAUUGGGGUGAAGUCGUAACAAGGUACC
Molecule: ribosomal RNA, 199 nt
Filed under: uncultured bacterium
Lineage: Bacteria
Description: partial 16S ribosomal RNA
Rfam family: Bacterial small subunit ribosomal RNA
Source: RNAcentral